UCCGAGUUUCUCUCGGCAGUCGGGCCUGAGGGAUACAACAGACCCAGAGGGUUGCGCUCGUUGCGGGACUUAACCCAACAUCUCACGACACGAGCUGACGACGGCCGUGCAACACCUGUGCAUGCUCCCUUGCGGGUCGCUCACCUUUCGGAUCGCUACCACAUGCAUGUCAAGCCUGGGUAAGGUUUUUCGCGUACCAUCGAAUUGAACCGCACGCUCCGCUGCUUGUGCGGGCCCCCGUCAAUUCCUUUGAGUUUUAGCCUUGCGGCCGUACUCCCCAGGUGGGUCACUUAAUGCGUUAGCUUCGGCACUGCGGGGGUCGAUACCUGCAACACCUAGUGACCAUUGUUUACGGCUAGGACUAA
Molecule: unclassified non-coding RNA, 365 nt
Filed under: uncultured Chloroflexota bacterium
Lineage: Bacteria; Bacillati; Chloroflexota
Description: uncultured Chloroflexi bacterium contains 16S-23S intergenic spacer region
Source: RNAcentral